AUGGGGGAAGCCGCCGGCGACCGUGUCCUCAGCCGCCUCCACAGCGUCAGGGAGCGCAUCGGCGACUCCCUCUCCGCGCACCCCAACGAGCUCGUCGCCGUCUUCACCAGGUUGGUCAACCUUGGAAAUGGAAUGCUGCAGUCCCACCAGAUCAUCGCUGAGUACAACACCGCGAUCCCUGAGGCAGAGCGCGAGAAGCUCAAGGAUGGCGCCUUUGAGGAUGUGCUCAGGGCAGCGCAGGAGGCGAUCGUCAUCUCGCCGUGGGUCGCGCUUGCCAUCCGUCCAAGGCCUGGUGUCUGGGAGUAUGUGAGGGUCAAUGUGAGUGAGCUCGCUGUCGAGGAGUUGAGCGUCCCUGAGUACCUGCAGUUCAAGGAACAGCUUGUUGAAGGAAGCAACAAGGACUUUGUGCUUGAGCUUGACUUUGAGCCAUUCAAUGCCUCCUUCCCUCGCCCUUCCCUGUCCAAGUCCAUCGGCAACGGCGUGCAGUUCCUCAACAGGCACCUGUCAUCGAAGCUCUUCCAUGACAAGGAGAGCAUGUACCCCUUGCUCAACUUCCUCCGCGCACACAACUACAAGGGCAUGACUAUGAUGCUGAACGACAGAAUCCGCAGCCUCAGUGCUCUCCAGGGAGCUCUGAGGAAGGCCGAGGAGCAUUUGUCUGGUCUCCCAGCAGACACUCCAUACUCGGACUUCCACCACAGGUUCCAAGAACUUGGCCUGGAGAAGGGUUGGGGUGACUGCGCCAAGCGUGCGCAGGAGACCCUUCACCUGCUCCUCGACCUUCUCGAGGCUCCCGACCCGUCCACGCUCGAGAAGUUCCUUGGCACAAUCCCAAUGGUGUUCAAUGUUGUCAUCCUGUCGCCGCACGGUUACUUUGCCCAAGCCAAUGUCUUGGGGUACCCUGACACCGGAGGCCAGGUUGUCUACAUUCUGGAUCAAGUCCGUGCUAUGGAGAACGAGAUGCUGCUGAGGAUCAAGCAGCAAGGCCUCGACAUCACACCACGGAUCCUUAUUGUCACCAGGCUUCUCCCUGAUGCAACCGGCACGACCUGCGGUCAGCGUCUUGAGAAGGUCCUCGGUACAGAGCACACCCACAUCCUCCGUGUGCCAUUCAGAACUGAAAGUGGAAUUGUUCGCAAGUGGAUCUCUCGUUUUGAAGUCUGGCCGUACCUGGAGACUUUCACUGAAGAUGUGGCUCACGAGAUUUCCGGAGAGCUCCAGGCCAAUCCUGACCUGAUCAUCGGAAACUACAGCGACGGAAACCUUGUUGCGUGCCUGCUUGCACACAAGAUGGGAGUUACUCAUUGUACCAUUGCACACGCGCUUGAGAAAACCAAGUACCCCAACUCUGACCUCUACUGGAAGAAGUUUGAGGACCACUACCACUUCUCAUGCCAGUUCACUACCGAUCUGAUUGCGAUGAACCAUGCUGACUUCAUCAUCACAAGCACCUUCCAAGAGAUUGCUGGAAACAAGGACACCGUUGGUCAGUACGAGUCUCACAUGGCAUUCACAAUGCCUGGGAUGUACCGUGUUGUCCAUGGUAUCGAUGUUUUUGACCCCAAGUUUAACAUAGUCUCACCUGGUGCGGACAUGUCCAUCUACUUCCCAUACUCCGAGUCACAGAGGAGGCUCACCUCCCUCCACCCAGAGAUCGAGGAGCUGCUCUACAGCGAUGUUGACAACAAUGAACACAAGUAUGUGCUCAAGGACAGGAACAAGCCAAUCAUCUUCUCGAUGGCUCGUUUGGACCGUGUCAAGAACUUGACUGGUCUGGUUGAGCUGUAUGGCAAGAACCCUCGCCUGCAGGAACUUGUUAACCUUGUGGUUGUCUGUGGUGACCAUGGCAAUCCAUCAAAGGACAAGGAGGAGCAGGCUGAGUUCAAGAAGAUGUUUGACCUUAUUGAGCAGUACAACCUGAAUGGCCAUGUCCGCUGGAUCUCAGCCCAGAUGAACCGUGUCCGUAAUGCUGAGCUCUACCGUUACAUCUGUGACACCAAGGGUGCCUUUGUGCAGCCUGCUUUCUAUGAGGCUUUUGGGCUUACUGUCAUCGAGGCCAUGACCUGCGGUCUUCCUACCUUUGCAACUGCAUAUGGUGGUCCUGCUGAGAUCAUCGUGAAUGGUGUGUCCGGCUACCACAUUGAUCCCUACCAGGGUGACAAGGCCUCCACUCUGCUUGUUGAGUUCUUUGAGAAGUGCCAGGUUGACCCCAGCCACUGGACCAAGAUUUCACAGGGCGGGCUUCAGCGUAUUGAGGAGAAAUACACCUGGAAGCUUUACUCUGAGAGGCUCAUGACCCUCACUGGGGUGUAUGGGUUCUGGAAGUACGUCUCCAACCUUGAGAGGCGCGAGACCCGCCGCUACCUUGAGAUGCUGUACGCCCUCAAGUACCGCACCAUGGCCAGCACUGUUCCGCUAGCUGUUGAGGGAGAAUCAGCAAGCAAGUGA
This 2448-nucleotide ribosomal RNA is filed under the name Triticum aestivum (bread wheat). RNAcentral describes it as "partial small subunit ribosomal RNA". Lineage: Eukaryota; Viridiplantae; Streptophyta; Magnoliopsida; Poales; Poaceae. The record is from RNAcentral.